GACGAACGCUGGCGGCGUGCUUAACACAUGCAAGUCGAACGGAAAGGCCCCUUUGGGGGUACUCGAGUGGCGAACGGGUGAGUAACACGUGAGUAACCUGCCCUUGACUUCGGGAUAACUUCAGGAAACUGGGGCUAAUACCGGAUAGGAAUCCUUGCUGCAUGGUGGGGGUUGGAAAGCUUCGGCGGUUUUGGAUGGACUCGCGGCUUAUCAGCUUGUUGGUGGGGUAGUGGCUUACCAAGGCUUUGACGGGUAGCCGGCCUGAGAGGGCGACCGGCCACAUUAGGACUGAGAUACGGCCCAGACUCCUACGGGAGGCAGCAGUGGGGAAUAUUGCACAAUGAGCAGAAGCCUGAUGCAGCAACGCCGCGUGCGGGAUGACGGCCUUCGGGUUGUAAACCGCUUUCAGCAGGGGCGAAGCUUGUGGUGACGGUACCUGCAGAAGAAGCACCGGCUAACUACGUG
Molecule: ribosomal RNA, 465 nt
Filed under: uncultured bacterium
Lineage: Bacteria
Description: partial 16S ribosomal RNA
Rfam family: Bacterial small subunit ribosomal RNA
Source: RNAcentral